This 448-nucleotide ribosomal RNA is filed under the name uncultured bacterium. RNAcentral describes it as "bacterial SSU rRNA". It matches the Rfam family "Bacterial small subunit ribosomal RNA", at positions 97 to 520 of the family's 1533-position model. The record is from RNAcentral.
GGCGUCCGGGUGAGAUAACACGUGGGUAAUCUACCUUCGGGUGGGGAAUAACACCUCGAAAGAGGUGCUAAUACCUGCAUAAUGCAGCGGCAGCAGAUGCUGAAUAGUUGUUAAAGCGGAGGGAUCAAUCGACCUCGCGCCUGAAGAGGAGCCCGCGGCAGAUUAGUUAGUUGGUGAGGUAACGGCUCACCAAGACAGCGAUCUGUAGCUGGUCUGAGAGGACGGCCAGCCACACUGGCACUGACAUACGGGCCAGACUCCUACGGGAGGCAGCAGUGGGGAAUUUUGGGCAAUGGGCGAAAGCCUGACCCAGCAACGCCGCGUGAGGGAGGAAAUCCUUCGGGAUGUAAACCUCACAAGCAAGGGAAGAGCGCGAAAGGGAUAAUACCCCUUUCGCCCGACGGUACCUUGCGUAAGGCCACGGUUAACUACGUGCCAGCAGCCGCGG